CACUUCUUCCAACAGUGCCUCUGGAGAGAUUCUUACAUACAAUGUUACAGACAAGCAAGAAGAAAUGCAAGAGAGUUGAGUGUGAAGUUUUCAUGCUUCUUGAUAGACAAAGAGAAAAAUAUGGUUCCUGUCCUGAGGAGUGAAAUCAGACAAUGCUCAGUAUCACAACCCUCUGCUGUCCUACUUGACCCUGAAACAGAUCUGGUACAUACAUCAGGGUCUAAACAGGAGUCCUCGCCUGGAUCCGUUAAGAAAACAGAUGAGAAAGGAAAGGUAAACUUCCAGCAGAAAUGCCC
Molecule: long non-coding RNA, 296 nt
Organism: Malaclemys terrapin pileata
Lineage: Eukaryota; Metazoa; Chordata; Testudines; Emydidae
Exons: 3
Source: RefSeq, a predicted model, not a curated record